UACGUAGGUGGCAAGCGUUGUCCGGAUUUAUUGGGUUUAAAGGGUGCGUAGGCGGCCCUAUAAGUCAGUGCUGAAAUAUCCCGGCUUAACCGGGAGGGUGGCAUUGAUACUGAUGGACUUGAGUAAAGUUGAGGUGGGCGGAAUUGACGGUGUAGCGGUGAAAUGCUUAGAUAUCGUCAAGAACACCUAUUGCGAAGGCAGCUCACUAAGCUUUAACUGACACUGAGGCACGAAAGUGUGGGGAUCAAACAGG
Molecule: ribosomal RNA, 253 nt
Filed under: uncultured bacterium
Lineage: Bacteria
Description: partial 16S ribosomal RNA
Rfam family: Bacterial small subunit ribosomal RNA
Source: RNAcentral